Molecule: ribosomal RNA, 493 nt
Filed under: uncultured bacterium
Lineage: Bacteria
Description: partial 16S ribosomal RNA
Rfam family: Bacterial small subunit ribosomal RNA
Source: RNAcentral
AGUGAACGCUGGCGGUAGGCCUAACACAUGCAAGUCGAACGGCAGCACAGUAAGAGCUUGCUCUUACGGGUGGCGAGUGGCGGACGGGUGAGGAAUACAUCGGAAUCUACUUUUUCGUGGGGGAUAACGUAGGGAAACUUACGCUAAUACCGCAUACGACCUACGGGUGAAAGCAGGGGAUCUUCGGACCUUGCGCGAUUGAAUGAGCCGAUGUCGGAUUAGCUAGUUGGCGGGGUAAAGGCCCACCAAGGCGACGAUCCGUAGCUGGUCUGAGAGGAUGAACAGGCAAACUGGAAAUGGGAAACGGUCCAAGACUCUAAGGGAGGGAGCAGGUGGGAAUAAUGGAAAAAGGGGGGAAGCCUGAACCAACCAAAACGGGGGGGGGGAGAAGGGCUUUGGGGUGGAAAAGCCUUUUGGUGGGAAAGAAAAGGAGCAAGGUAAUAACCCGCUGUUCUGACGGUACCCAAAGAAUAAGCACCGGCUAACUUCGGGC